Pseudoliparis swirei is the source of this 964-nucleotide long non-coding RNA. RefSeq lists it as uncharacterized. The transcript is spliced from 6 exons. The record is from RefSeq and is a predicted model, not a curated record. NCBI's taxonomy places the organism in Eukaryota, Metazoa, Chordata, Actinopteri, Perciformes, Liparidae.
UAGGAUGAAACCAUUAAUUUCCUACAUCAAUGGGCUCCACAUAAGUGUGCUACACCUGGCCGGCUAUACCUCAUGAAUCAUUAUACCAUGGGUUUAAUCUUGUACGGCAUGAGAGAGCAAAUGGCCAGGCAAGGGUUAAAAAAGGUGAGUAAUUAUAUUAUUAUUAUAAAUGUUAACAUCAAGUUGUUUUGAAACAAUCCAUUUGAAAAAGCAGCUUUAGUUUUUUGGUUGUUCCAUUGGAGGAAAAAUACAUAAUGCAUACUGGGUACAUUCUAUUUGAGUUUUGCAGCAAAAUACAAUUAUUUUUCCAUUUUUACGCAUGUUGUCAGGUCACAUUUGAUGACUAUGAUGGAGCCAUUGGAUUUGUCAACAUAAGAAAUGUGCACUGGAAGUUUGUGUAAACUGCCUCCUCCUGCAUUCCGGUGUUUGUCGUGCUUUUGGGUUCCAGUACCUGUAACCCUUACACAAAUGAAGUUGACGACUCCAGAAAGGCUGGCCAAAGACACAGUAUUUCAAAAUGCGCCAGAACAGACUUGGAAAGGAGGACUGGGUUCACAUCAAGUGGCAGCCGGGCCAGAUAAUCCACACCUGCCAGAAAGAUGGCAGCAGUUGUGGGAUCUUUGUCAUGCAGAUGGCCAAGAUGACGGUGAUGGAACUACCAAAGAUUCCGCAGCAUUUUCGCAUCAACUCAUCUAAACAAUCUAUUGAAAAGCUAAGAAGAAACAUGGCUGAAGACAUUCUGAAACAAUCAGUUUCAAAGGAUGAGCUCUGUUCCUUCUGUGGAAUUGAGGACCUGCCCAAAACUGCUAUUGAUGCUGUUUGGAUACAGUGUGGAACUUGCUCAAGAUGGUUUCACACGCAGUGCCUUGGGAUGACAGCAGCACAACUACCAAACAACAUUGGUAUUGUGUGUUGUGAAUACUUAUGUACAUGUUAUGUUUUCGUUCUUUAUUUUUAAUAAAUU